AGUUUUGUGGUCUACAUUUACAUUUUAGCCAUUUGSUUUUGUAUUGACACUGGCUUGGGAUAGAGGAAACUCCUGCAAGGAUCAGAUUGCCAAUCAAGAUCCUGACAAAGGAAGGAAACGGUUUACAUCUGUGAACUGGAGACUGGAAUCUGGGAUUGCAUAUGUGUCCGUUAGAAGGAGGCUGAACCAUUGCAGAAAAGCGUGUGCUGUAAUGAGGAUGCUAUCUACUGCAAUACUUCUUUCUUCAAAACACAGAAAGAUGUGACUUUUUCAUGAGACUAGAUACACCUUCUGAAAAUGUAAGUAAGUUUGGAUUUACUACAACUGCUCUGCCUCACCUGAAGAUUUUCUUGUGUGUGAUGACAGAAAGAGUGGCUUUAUUGACAGACCAAGGACAAGAGGCUGGGGUUGCCUGGUGUUUUAAGUGCAAGGAGGAGAGAACAUUUCUUGGGCUUCUUGGCAGCUUAUAUGAAGCCUGGGGCAAGGUGCUGGGCUGGUUUCUGGAGAAGGGGAGCUUGUCCACGCAGAGCCCUGCCUCUUGGCCAUGCUGCUGCUGCUCCUCGCAGCUUUAACACACAUGUUCACUUCUUCCUCUGACCUACGUCUGUCCAGCUGGGGUUCACGAGCAGAGACAGACCUGGGAAGAAGGGCAGGAAUGGCUCCGGCAGGGCAGUCGAUGUGCCAGAGAGGUAGAGGAGAGUGAAGAAGAGACAGGAGAGAGAGAAGCAUGAAAAUGAGUGAUGCACAACUGCCCCCAAAGGAGGAAAGUGCCAAUGGGACACUACCAUGGGCUAAAGCAGUGGGACAAGCAGGGUGGUGAUGGAAGAGAGACAGUUUGGGUACCCUGAGCUCAGGGAAAAGCAGAGGAUGUGAAACACCCUAAACAGGGACAUUUUAAUGAGAGGAGGGAACAGAGCAAGACGCAAGUGGCUGCAGUAAUGAAUGCUCUCUUAAAGUAACCCAGAAUUAGACACUGGCCCAUGCUAUUUGAAGUCAUUAAAAAAAUGUAAUGCUUUAGCCUUUCAAGAGUUAUGAGUGCAUCUCCCCCAGCUACCUUCAGAAACACUUCUUAAAUAUUGAAAACCCUACUGAGACUUAGCUAUAAAACUUUAAUGGAGACAGAUUCUCUGAGCCUGCUGAAAGGAUUUCUCCGCAGCAUAUAUUGCUGCAUUUUGGUUAAUUUACUGGGCUUCUUUCUCCUCAUCAUCUUUCUUAUCAGCAUCUUUCUUCUUUUCUC
Dromaius novaehollandiae (emu) is the source of this 1237-nucleotide long non-coding RNA. The record is from Ensembl. Lineage: Eukaryota; Metazoa; Chordata; Aves; Casuariiformes; Dromaiidae.